UGUGCUGCCCUGAGGAUGAAUGAAUAUAUACUUAUUAGUAAGAUACCCUAACAAUGAAAGUCCAGCUUUCCAGCCAUGAGGAGUUAAAAUGGACAUGCCUUUCCAAAAGAGUUAGCAAUUUUGGGGUUGUGUCCUUGCCCCCUCCCUCCAGCUUUGCUGUGACCCCAGCAGAGACAUUUUUGCAUGGCUUGAUUUCUUCUGUUUCCAAAUAAUUGUUUGGUAAUUACCUGUUGCUGGUGAAUGUUUGCUAAUAAUUAGCACAGUGGUAACUAGGAGAACACUUCCUGCCUGUAAGCAUUGCACCAGAGCACUGAUAUCAACAUGCACCAAGGAGCAGAUUUAUGCCACAGAAGAUUUCCCAGGCAGCAGUGGCAUGGUGGCUGGAGGAGCACAGAGGAAUGAAGGAAGCUACACUACAGUACAAAGAUCUGAGCCUACCCUCACACUAAUACCUACUUUCACUGAAGAUACUCUACAACACAUCAAGAGCAGGUGCAGACACAGUGUGAGUGAGAAGGAAAAGAAACAGCAUCACUAUCCUGGGUGUGGCUGUCUGCUAGAGCCAGGAUCAGUGUGGAGAUACUUGGACACAGGUUACCAAAA
This is a long non-coding RNA of Oenanthe melanoleuca, 603 nucleotides long. RefSeq lists it as uncharacterized. The record is from RefSeq and is a predicted model, not a curated record. The transcript is spliced from 3 exons. Lineage: Eukaryota; Metazoa; Chordata; Aves; Passeriformes; Muscicapidae.